UGAAGAUGAAGAGCUUUAGGCUGGCCAUCCCUGGAUUAGUACAAUGUGCAAUGGGGAAGACCUUGCUAUGAAAAUAGGAGCGUUAGAAGUGUGUCCCCAUUUUCACCUGUGAAAUGUUGAAAGGUGCAAACGUGCUAGAGCUUCUUUUUCAAUGACAGAAUACAUCUUCUCUGAUGCAGUAAGCACUCUGGAAGCAAAGGCUGGAGGAUGCUUGGCCUUGAAGUCUUAUAACUUUAUUUCCACCACUGAAGGAAAGGUGAUCAUCUUGACAAAGGAUUCAGAAGCUUAUGUAAUCAAAUGAGAUCAAAUCUACAUAUCUCUUGACUGUAUUGCAAUUUAUAUAUGUUCAAACAAGGCAAAUAACAGUUAAAUACAAAGCAUGGAAAUCUUUCGAAAGAUGUUUUUUAAAAUCACCUCUGAGAAUAUUGUCCUGCAUUUGGAAUAAAAUAAGCAAUCAGA
Hemicordylus capensis (graceful crag lizard) is the source of this 459-nucleotide long non-coding RNA. RefSeq lists it as uncharacterized. The transcript is spliced from 3 exons. Lineage: Eukaryota; Metazoa; Chordata; Lepidosauria; Squamata; Cordylidae. The record is from RefSeq and is a predicted model, not a curated record.